GUUAAGUGGGUGGCGGGGACUGCGGGAAGAGUAAGUGGGCUAGCUUGGUUCGGAAUUACUGGGUGUAAAGAGCGGGUAGGCGGGUGUACAAGUUGGAGGUGAAAGCCUUGAGCUCAACUCAAGAAAUGCAUUCAGGACUGGAUGACUAGAGGACCGGAGAGGAUAGUGGAAUUCCCAGUGUAGUGGUGAAAUACGUAGAGAUUGGGAAGAACACCAGUGGCGAAGGCGGCUAUCUGGACGGUUUCUGACGCUAAGACGCGAAAGCGUGGGGAGCAAACAGGAUUAGAUACCCUGGUAGUC
RNAcentral lists this ribosomal RNA (300 nucleotides) under uncultured Succinispira sp. RNAcentral's name for it is "bacterial SSU rRNA". It matches the Rfam family "Bacterial small subunit ribosomal RNA", at positions 496 to 795 of the family's 1533-position model. The record is from RNAcentral. Lineage: Bacteria; Bacillati; Bacillota; Negativicutes; Acidaminococcales; Acidaminococcaceae.